UACAUAAAUGGUGACACCUCACAGC
This 25-nucleotide non-coding RNA is filed under the name Mus musculus (house mouse). The record is from RNAcentral. Lineage: Eukaryota; Metazoa; Chordata; Mammalia; Rodentia; Muridae.